CACCUGGAAACCGAUGUCCUCAGUGCGGGAGAAUAUGCGGGUCAAGAAUCGGUCUCUUCAGUCACCUAAGAACACACGCCCAAGAUACCAAGGUUGGAAGACUAUCGUCCUCGAACGACGAGGGAUCGCCUAAGUAAGAGCCUGAGCCAGUCUGUGACUUGAAGACACCUAAGUUCUUCUUCGUUGCUGGAAGUAAAAUGGAAUACUUCUCUUAUGCUCUAUCUCUCUAAAAGAUCCCAUUGCUUCUCAGAGGACAAUCCUUCUUUUCACAAAACAUUUAAGUGGAACGGGAAACACUGAACAUAGUGAGAGGAGUCCAGCCACUACUGUUCAGGCAUUAAAUAGUAAGCUCUGCAGCCUCACAUUUAAAUCAGAAGCCUUUUUGCAUUUUUACAUUCCAAGCUUAGAGGUUUUAGUCACUAUUUACACACUUUUUAACCCGGGGAAAGGCAUAAUGGUCAGACAUUCUGGUGACUCAGGGGCAUGCUCCAUGCAGGAAACCAUUCAAUGGUUUCAAAACUGAACCGUUGUUUUCCAGCCUAGAUUUUGCUGGACCAUUAGUUUCAACAUAGGCUAAUUUGGAGACUAUAUGAUUGCUAUUCAUAAGGAGAGCCGCCCCCCUUUUCUGAGCUUUGAUGGAAGCAAAUGAAAAUAUUGCUUUUGAAACAAGCUUCUUGAUGAAAAUAAAAAGAACAGUGUGCGAGCAUGUGCAUUACCAAUCUUUUUCAUCUUCAUGCAUUUCCAUCUGUCUCCUGUUUUUAAUAGGACAUUACAUAACAAAUAAUUUUUACUGUUUAGUCAAGCUGCUGUUCUGAAACAAGGCUUGUGAAUAAUGUCAGACAUGGAUGUGGGAAGUCUUCUGUCAACACUUCCCCCUUUACUGAAAAAGAGGCGCUAUGUUGUUGUCCAGCAUAUGUUCGAUAGUGGAGCCAAAUAAUGCUUCUCCUUUGUGCUUAUUAGUUUUCUGUCACUUUAUGUGUGAAAAAUUGAUAUUAACUUUUGUCUCUGUUUGCCUAUGUAAAUAUGGCUUAUGUUACUUAUACUGAAAGUUUCUUCUGUAAUUUUUUCCCUUGCAAAACAUUAGCAUUUUAGGGAAAAAUAGAAAUUUUAAUGUUUAAUAUGUAUUAAUUUUUAAUUUAUUUUAGCUUAUGUUUUGUAUGUGUUAUUAAGGCAUUAAAUAAUUGCCAUAUGUUAGCUGCCUUGAAUCCCCUUUGGGGUAGAGAAAGGUGGGGUAUAAAUAAGGUAAAAAAAUAAUAAAUAAAUGUAGCAUAUGAUACUUUAUCCAGUGCCUUUGUUCAUGAACAACCAAGUUAUUAAAUAUAAUGUAUGUUUA
This is a long non-coding RNA of Anolis carolinensis (green anole), 1333 nucleotides long. RefSeq lists it as uncharacterized. NCBI's taxonomy places the organism in Eukaryota, Metazoa, Chordata, Lepidosauria, Squamata, Anolidae. The record is from RefSeq and is a predicted model, not a curated record. The transcript is spliced from 2 exons.